CUCUUUGUCUGUUGCUUCAUGAGUUAAAUGAGUUCAGGAAAGGAGAGUUCAAGAAGAGACGACAAACAGAGGCGUUAAUCCCCAUGUCUGAUUAAAAAGGCGUAAAAAGGGAAUGAAGAGCAGAAGGGCGGAAGAGGCAGAGCCGCCUGAGUUCUGCCACCCGAGCUGUGGAUCUCUGCAGCUCCUCCAAGAACCGACACCAACAGCUGCAACUGAAGAUCCUCGGCACCCCCGACCAGAUUAAUUACCAGGCUGAUUCUCUCCUCCUGCUCUCACUGAUCACUCCGCUAGAACCUCUCAGUAGGU
Gambusia affinis (western mosquitofish) is the source of this 306-nucleotide long non-coding RNA. RefSeq lists it as uncharacterized. The record is from RefSeq and is a predicted model, not a curated record. Lineage: Eukaryota; Metazoa; Chordata; Actinopteri; Cyprinodontiformes; Poeciliidae. The transcript is spliced from 3 exons.